UACGGGGGGAGCAAGCGUUGUUCGGAUUCAUUGGGCGUAAAGGGUGCGUAGGUGGCGCUGUAAGUCGGGUGUGAAAUUUCGGAGCUUAACUCCGAAACUGCAUUCGAUACUGCCGUGCUUGAGGACUGGAGAGGAGACUGGAAUUUACGGUGUAGCGGUGAAAUGCGUAGAUAUCGUAAGGAAGACCAGUGGCGAAGGCGGGUCUCUGGACAGUUCCUGACGCUGAGGCACGAAGGUCAGGGGAGCAAACGGG
Molecule: ribosomal RNA, 253 nt
Filed under: uncultured bacterium
Lineage: Bacteria
Description: partial 16S ribosomal RNA
Rfam family: Bacterial small subunit ribosomal RNA
Source: RNAcentral